ACUUGAAUAGCUUAAGUUAAAGCUUAAUAUUGAAGAUAUUAAAAUGGAUAAAUUUAUUCUUCAAGUG
This 67-nucleotide transfer RNA is filed under the name Nithecus jacobaeae. RNAcentral's name for it is "tRNA-Phe". The record is from RNAcentral. Lineage: Eukaryota; Metazoa; Arthropoda; Insecta; Hemiptera; Lygaeidae.